AUUGAACGCUGGCGGCAGGCCUAACACAUGCAAGUCGAGCGAGCGGCGGACGGGUGAGUAAUGUCUGGGAAACUGCCUGAUGGAGGGGGAUAACUACUGGAAACGGUAGCUAAUACCGCAUACUAUCAGAUGUGCCCAUAUGGGAUUAGCUUGUUGGUGGGGUAACGGCUCACCAAGGCGACGUUCCCUAGCUGGUCUGAGAGGAUGACCAGCCAAACUGGUAAGUAGAAACGGUCAAGACUCCUAAGGGAGGCAGCAGUGGGGAAUAUUGUACAAUGGGCGCAAGCCUGAUGCAGCCAUGCCGAGUGUAUGAAGAAGGCCUUUGGGUUGCAAAGUACUUUCAGCGGGGAGGCGUUAACCGCAGAAGAAGCACCGGCUAACUCCGUGCCAGCAGCCGCGGUAAUAC
Molecule: ribosomal RNA, 406 nt
Filed under: uncultured bacterium
Lineage: Bacteria
Description: partial 16S ribosomal RNA
Rfam family: Bacterial small subunit ribosomal RNA
Source: RNAcentral